GCAGGGUAAUAAGAGCAUGUGGUGGAUGCCUUGACUUCGAAAGGCGAUGAAGGACGUGGCGUGCCUGCGAUAAGCCUCGGUGAGGUGGCGAGCAACCGUUGACCCGGGGAUGUCCGAAUGGGGAAACCCCGUGCUGCAAACCAGCACGAGUGCUGCUCUGCAGCAAGUUCGAAAUUAAAAAAUCAAAGUGCAAAAUUUCGGUGUCGCUUCGCGAUAUUUUAAAAUUCGCCGCAGGCGAACACAGUAAUUUUGACUUUUGCAUUUUACAUUUUGAUUUUGCCGCAGGGCGGCACGGCGAACCCGCUGAAGUGAAACAUCUCAGUAAGCGGAGGAAAAGAAAACAAUAAUCUACCAAUUACGAAUCGGAUACGAAUAUACGAAUAAGUAUAUUCGUAAAAGAUUCGUGAUUCGUAGAUAUCAUUCCCUUAGUAGCGGCGAGCGAACAGGGAGAAGCCCAAACCUGACCGUGCCUCACUUUUGUUUGCUUGCCCGCCGUAGUUGCGCCUGACGCGACGAAGGCGGGGAACUUGUCUCUUGGUUAUUGGUUAUUCCGUCCGAGCAUAGCGAGGUGCGGUUAGGGGUUGUAAGGCAAACGCGCUUGUUUAAUCAGGGGAAAUUGCAUGUCUUGGCUAGCAGAAGUGCGUUGGAAAGCGCUACCAGAGAGGGUAAUAGUCCCGUACACGAAAGCCGUUGUGUAAUUUCUUGCGUUUGUUCUUGAGUACCUCGACACACGAAUAGGUCGGGGGAAGCAGGGAAUACUAGUUCCCAAGGCUAAAUACUUUCGAAGAUCGAUAGUGAACAAGUACCGUGAGGGAAAGGUGAAAAGCAGCCCGGUAAGGGCGUUGAAAUAGUACCUGAAACCACAUGCUUACAAGGAGUCGGAGCGUGCGUAGCACUUGGAAAUUCGAAGCACGAAGCACGAAAUUCGAAACAAUAUCAAAAUUCUAAAUUCAAAUGUUUAAAACGUUUUGGAUUUGAGUAUUGAAAUUUGUUUAGGAUUUCGGAUUUCGAAUUUGGGAUUUUCACGCGCUGCGCGCGUGACGGCGUGCCUAUUGAAGAAUGAGCCAACGAGUUUAUUCGUGUUGCGUACUUAAGCCAUACGUGGCGAAGGUGCAGGGAAACCGAGUGUGAAUAGCGCGAAUACCUUUGUUUGCUUGCCCGCCGUAGUUGCGCCUGACGCGACGAAGGCGGGGAACUUGUCUCUUGGUUAUUGGUUAUUCCGUCCGAGCAUAGCGAGGUGCGGUCGGUUGUAGCACGAAUAAGACCCGAAGCCAGGUGAGCUUGCCAUGACCAGGGUGAAGUUCGUCGAAAGACGGAUGGAGGCCCGAACCGUUUGGCCGUGCAAAACCAUCGGAUGAGUUGUGGUAAGGAGUGAAAAGCUAAUCGAACUUGGUAAUAGCUGGUUCUCUCCGAAAUAGCUUUAGGGCUAGCGGCCUGCACGGGAUACGCGGAGGUAGAGCUACUGAAUGGGCUGAACAGGGGGCAACCUCGUCAGUCCAACCAAACUCCGAAUGCCGCGUUUCCAAUCAGGCUAGUCAGACUACGGGGGCAAAGCUCCGUCGGUCGAAAGGGAAACAGCCCAGAUCUCAAUCUAAGGUUCCUAAAUUAUCCCGAUAAUCAUCGGGACUUUGGCUGUAUGUUGUUCUUGUAACAACAUGCGCCGGAGCUGCUCAGUGCAAGGAAGGCGGUGGAGUUUCUCAGACAGCGAGGAGGUUGGCUUAGAAGCAGCCAUCCUUUAAAGAGUGCGUAACAGCUCACUCGUCAAGAGACACUGCACCAAAAAUGAUCGGAGCUAAGCAGUAUACCGAAGGUGAGGGCCGAUGCUUCGCAUCGGAAAUUCCAAUUUCCAACAAACCAAUUUCCAAAUAAUAUCCAAUAAUCAAUGACCAAAAUUCAAAACACGGAACAUGAAGUAUCGUGGUUUGAAAUUUGAGAUUUGUAAUGUGGAAUUUAUUUGUAAUUUGGAUGCUUGUGAUUUGGAGCUUCCGCUGCGGAGCAGCGGCGGUAGGAGAGCGUUCCGUUCGCAGUGAAGCUUCGCCGUGAGGUUGAGGUGGAGCGUACGGAAGUGAGAAUGUUGGCACAAGUAACCGCAAGAGAGGUGAGAUCCCUCUCCGCCGAAAGUCUAAGGUUUCCUUGGCAAUGGUGAUCAUCCAAGGGUUAGUCGGGCCUAAGGCAAUGACGAAAGUCGUAGUCGAUGGACACACGGUUAAUAUUCCGUGACCUCGUAUUGUUGCGAUGGAGUGACGGAGGAAAACAUACAGGGCGCGUUAUUGGAUUCGCGUUAUCAGUCUGAAGAAGCGCUUUUUAGGUAAAUCCGGAAAGCGGCCGCAAGGCAAGCUUCGUGGGCUGAUAAGAUCGCGCUUCGGCGCGGGAUUUUGUAGCAGAGCCUUCCAAGAAAAACUUCUAAGCAUAAACAAUGCGAGACCGUACCGCAAACCGACACAGGUAGACAGGUCGAGAAGACCAAGGCGAACGAGUGAGUCUUUCCCAAGGAACUCGGCAAAAAAGCGGGCGUAACUUCGGGAGAAGCCCUGCCACCGCAUCACACGGGGUGUGAUGCGGAAAUCCUAAACUCGAAAUCUUAAAUCCUAAACAAAUCCCAAUAACUAAGAUUUAAAAUACCGAAUAAUAUAUCCGGAAUUUAAAGCAUUUGAAUUUAGAAUUUGUUUAGAGUUUAGAUAUUGGAAUUUAGAGUUUUCGCUAUCGCGCGUCGCGCGAUGCGGUGGCCGCAGCGAAAGUAUCCCUGGCGACUGUUUAUCAAAAACACAGCUCCCUGCGAACUCGUAAGAGGAUGUAUAGGGGGUGACGCCUGACCAAUGCGAGAAGGUCAAAUACGACCGGUGCUUCGCACCGGAAUUUUCAAGUCCUAAUGUAUAAUUUUCAAAUUUUGGAAAUUGAACAUUGAAAAUUGGAAAUUCCAGCGCGGAGCGCUGGGUUGUAUAAGCCCUCGUCAAUGUCGGCAAUAACUAUAAUUGUCCUAAGGUAGGAAAGCUGCCUUAGUAAAAUUCGGCUAUAUGCUGGAAAGUCUGUGCAUAAAAUGCUGUAGCAUCUGGUACUACUAUGGUAUAAUUAUUCCAUAGAAGAUAUAUGGAGAGGCUCCAUAGUAAAAAUGUAUCUAGUGCAGACAACCAGCAGGAAAGGCCAGAAAUCAAAGGAUGGUUAGUUGGUUUUACUGAUGGUGAAGGAUGUUUUUCCGUUAGUGUGUUCCGAAAUAAGACUGCAAAAUUUGGUUGGCAGAUCUUUCCUGAGUUUGUCAUAACUCAAGGGAUAAAAAGUCUGCCAGCCCUAGAGAAAUUCAAGGCAUAUUUCGGAUGCGGAAACAUCUUUGUGAAUAGACGACACGACAAUCACAACGAAAAUCUGUAUAGAUUCUGUGUAAGAUCAUUAAAAGAUCUGAAUAAUAAGAUUAUUCCAUUUUUUUGCAAGAAUCGCUUACUUACCGCGAAAAUCAAUGAUUUUGACAUUUUCGCGGAGAUUGUUGAAGCGAUGAUAAAAAAGCAGCAUCUGACCAAGUUGGGUAUGCAUAACAUUGCAAAAAAAAUUGAACACAUGAAUAGGAAAAAACCAUCUCGAUUUCUGGAAUCCUCAGAGACUAUACGCCGGACUUCGAUGUAAGAAUCGGAGAAGAUAUAGUCCGAUCUCCAUGGCGACACAGAGAGCGUGGAAGAAAUGAUCACGCCCUUUGUUUAUAGAUUUAUAAACAAAGAGUAACAAAUUAGAGCGUAAUUCCUUGUCUGGUAAGUUCAGACGUGCACGAAAGGCGUAACGACUGGGGAACUGUCUCGGGAAAGAGCUCGGUGAAAAUACAUUACCGGUGAAGAUGCCGGUUACCUGCAGCUAGACGAAAAGACCCCGGAAGCUUUACUAUAACUUGGUAUUGGCGUUAUGUGCUGGAUGCGUAGAAUAGCGGGGAGGCUUUGAAGCUCCGAUCUUGGUCGGGGUGGAGCCGUCAGUGAAAUACCCGUCUUCCAACAGAUAACGUCUAACCUCUGCGGAAAAAACGCACGGGGACAGUGCCUGGUGGGUAGUUUGCGUGGGGCGCGAUCCUCCUAAAAAGUAACGGAGGAGUCUAUUAAGGUCAGCUAGGCGCGGAUGGAAAUCGCGCUGGUCGUGUAAUGGCAUAAGCUGGCUUAACUGCAAGGCGGACAUGCCGCGCAGGCGCGAAAGCGGAGCAUAGUGAUCCGACCGUGGGCACUAGACGCCGCGGAAGCUCAACGGAUAAAAGCUACUCCGGGGAUAACAGGCUAGUCACGCCCGAGCGUCCAUAGCGACGGCGUGGUUCGGCACCUCGACGUGAGACAGGUUGGUCUCCUAUCUGCUGCAGGCGUUGAUGCUUGAGGGGAGUUGUUCUUAGUAAAAUAUUGCUACUUCAGAGAGCAAUCUCUGAUGACAAACCGACUAAUAACGGUGGAAUCUUCAUAAAUUAUUUGAUCUGUGGAUGGUAACAGUUGAUCUCGGUCUAUCAAUUGGUGUACAAUGUGCUUGAGGACCAGAUAAUUUUUUAAGACAAUACCGUGGGAAGUCAAACUCAUAGUGAAGAUCUUGCAUAUAUUUCUGGCUUUUUGGAUGGCGACGGAAGCUUGAUGCUGCAAAUCAAGAAAAGAAAAGACAGCAAACUUGGCUGGAGAUUCAUGUUUACGAUUUGCUUUUAUCAAGAUUCUCGACACGAAAAACCGUUGUAUUGGAUUCGUAAGAGGUUGCAUAUUGGAUAUAUCUCUAGACGCAACGACCACAUCACUGAAUUACGUAUUAAUGGCUACGAGCAAGUUAAGAGGAUUCUCUGCGACCUUUUGCCGUUCAUUCGCUUUAAGAGAAAGCAAGCAAUGGCUAUAGAAAGAGCGGCGGGGAUCUUGAGUAAAAAACCAACUCCAUUGUUGACGAGAAAGAAUCGAUUGCAUAUUGCACAGUGUAUUCUUACAGUACAACAUGAAAAUUAUACUACCAGACAGAAGAAAACAAAAAGCGAGAUUAUGAGGAUAUUAGAUUUGACCCCGUAACGACUUCGAUUUCUUGAUCGAGAUAAGAGUUAAUUGUGCUCUUAUAAUAUGUCGGCCCCGUAAAGAUUUGCAGAGCAAAACUUAAACGGGUGAAGAUAUAGUCUAAGCCUUUAGAAAUAAAGGAGUAACUUGACGAGAGGACCGGAACGAACUGACCUCUGGUGUACCGGCUGUCCUGCCAAGGGCAACGCCGGGUAGCUAUGUCGGGACGGGAUAACCGCUGAAAGCAUCUAAGCGGGAAGCCGACCA
RNAcentral lists this ribosomal RNA (5246 nucleotides) under Parcubacteria group bacterium. Its description in RNAcentral is "23S ribosomal RNA". The stretch from base 3 to 4353 matches the Rfam family "Bacterial large subunit ribosomal RNA". The record is from RNAcentral.